GAUGAACGCUGGCGGCGUGCUUAAUACAUGCAAGUCGAACGGAAAGGCCCUGCUCUUGUUUGUUUCUCGUUUGGCGCACGGGUGAGUAACACGUGAGUAUCCUGCCCCUGACUUUGUGAUAACUUUACGAAACUCGGGCUAAUACCGCAUAGGAUCUCCUGCUCCAUGUUGGUGGUUGGAAAGUUUCGGCGGUUGGGGAUGGACUCGCGGCUUAUCAGCUUGUUUGUGAGGUAGUGGCUUACCAAGGGUUUGACGGAUAGCCGGCCUGAGAGGGUUACCGGCGACAUGGGGACUGAGAGACGGACCAGAAGCGUACGGGAGGCAGCAGGGGGGAAUAUUGCACAAUGGGCGGAAGCCUGAGGCAGAAACGCUGCGUGCGGGAUGACGGCCUUCGGGUGGAAAACCGAUGUGGACUGUGACGAAGAGUGAGUGACGGUAAUGGGUAAAGAAGCACCGGCUAACUACGUG
This 468-nucleotide ribosomal RNA is filed under the name uncultured bacterium. RNAcentral describes it as "partial 16S ribosomal RNA". It matches the Rfam family "Bacterial small subunit ribosomal RNA", at positions 28 to 507 of the family's 1533-position model. The record is from RNAcentral.